GACGAACGCUGGCGGCGUGCCUAAUACAUGCAAGUAGAACGCUGAAGGAGGAGCUUGCUUCUCUGGAUGAGUUGCGAACGGGUGGGUAACGCGUAGGUAACCUGCCUGGUAGCGGGGGAUAACUAUUGGAAACGAUAGCUAAUACCGCAUAACAGUAGAUAUCGCAUGAUAUCUACUUGAAAGGUGCAAUUGCAUCACUACCAGAUGGACCUGCGUUGUAUUAGCUAGUUGGUGAGGUAACGGCUCACCAAGGCGACGAUACAUAGCCGACCUGAGAGGGUGAUCGGCCACACUGGGACUGAGACACGGCCCAGACUCCUACGGGAGGCAGCAGUAGGGAAUCUUCGGCAAUGGACGGAAGUCUGACCGAGCAACGCCGCGUGAGUGAAGAAGGUUUUCGGAUCGUAAAGCUCUGUUGUAAGAGAAGAACGAGUGUGAGAGUGGAAAGUUCACACUGUGACGGUAUCUUACCAGAAAGGGACGGCUAACUACGUG
RNAcentral lists this ribosomal RNA (495 nucleotides) under uncultured bacterium. Its description in RNAcentral is "partial 16S ribosomal RNA". It matches the Rfam family "Bacterial small subunit ribosomal RNA", at positions 28 to 507 of the family's 1533-position model. The record is from RNAcentral.